This is a long non-coding RNA of Panicum virgatum (switchgrass), 1298 nucleotides long. RefSeq lists it as uncharacterized. NCBI's taxonomy places the organism in Eukaryota, Viridiplantae, Streptophyta, Magnoliopsida, Poales, Poaceae. The transcript is spliced from 4 exons. The record is from RefSeq and is a predicted model, not a curated record.
GCUGGCAUCCACCCCUACCGCUCCCGUCCCCAGACCGCAUCUCGUCCUUUCUCAUCUCUCUCCACCUCUCCACUCUCAGAUCGCAUCUCGAGCGCGGAGGACCAUGGCCAUCGUCACCACCGAGCCUCGAUCUCCACCUCCGGUCACGACGCCAUCGCCGCCGCCUCGUCCCCCCUACCGCCGUCUCUCUCUCUCUCUCUCUCUCUCUCUCUCUCUCAUGCUCUGACGGGCAACUCCAUUCGCGUCGCCAGGAUGGGCUCCUCCAUGCGAGGUGCUCCAUAUCGGGCGUGGGCGGCCAGAUCUACGGCAGCUUGAUCGAGGAAGGCCACAUCUACGUCAUAUUGGUCGAGGGCGGCGGGAUCCAUGGCGCCGUCUCCUGCUCUGAUUUGGCUGACUAGGGUUAUUGCCGCCGCGGAUCUCGCUGUGCCCGUCAUGGACGCCUCGCCCCCGGGCUCCUCCGCCGUCGUCGGCGAGGACGCGUUCAUCUGCUGUUGCACUUCUAAGCUGAAGAAUGUGAAAUGAUGUGCUCCUCAACCAGAUGACAAUUUCAGCACUUCUAAGCUGAAGAAUGUAAUACCUGGGUGAGAUGCACUCAAAACAUAAUUUAUGUGUGUCACUCAAAUCAGAUUCUACAUUGCAGUUACUGCCUUCCUGGUAUGCUACACCAUAACCUUAACACUUUCCCUUCAAGUUUAUUUUUUUCCGAAGGCAUUUGGAUUUUUGAAUAACGCGGGAUAUAUUGACUGGGACCUGCACUAACUCGCUGGGUUACUUUUUUCUCUUGCAAGUUCUAAAUUUUUGUUCAUGAUUCUGAUGUUUGCAGCACAAAGCCCUUGAUAGGGUGCUUGCAGAGGUGAGACGUUGGAGAGCCUAGUGGAGUUCGAAUCUAACUGCUGCUUCACAGGUCACAACUCUGUAUAGAACUGAUUUCUCAGGAAGAAGGGAGCUAUCAGCAAGGCAAAUGCACACAGUUAGCUGAUGAGAGGAAGAAGCAAAUGUUGUUUACUUUGGAUCAGAUGAUGUCGAUGCUGCUAUAUAGAAGAGAGCUUCCCACAUGAUGGUUUCACAUUAUCUUGCACAAUGUAUUACUAGACUAUUUGGAUUUGUAAUUGCAAAGUUACUAAAAAAUAAGUUACAAUGGAUCUGUGAUGUAUAACCUGUGUAUUUGCGCCUCCAGCAAUUGACUUUAGAGAUAGUAGUUAAUAUGUAUGACUUCAACAGAUUGUGUAUGUGUAUCUGCAAUGUAUAUAUGGAUAGAAACUAUGUAUUUAUGAUGUAUAUAAAAUCUAUUUAUGGCC